Molecule: long non-coding RNA, 957 nt
Organism: Magnolia sinica
Lineage: Eukaryota; Viridiplantae; Streptophyta; Magnoliopsida; Magnoliales; Magnoliaceae
Exons: 3
Source: RefSeq, a predicted model, not a curated record
GUGCUUAUACCAAAGAAGAUUUGUCCUUUCUUUGAAAUUGUACCUUAAUGAUUCAUUGCAAGAAAAGGAAACAAAUACAUUUCCUUGUUUUUGUUUCUUUGUUGUGGAUGGCUAUUCUAUUUUAACAGUUCUUUGUUUGUUUUAGGUUGUUGCAGCUUCAUCUUCCCAUGAAUCAAUACAUUUUUUCUUUUUCUUUUUGGUGGGCAACAACAUGGAUGGGGAAUAGAUAAGAAACUUGGUUAUUGCACUCAGCUGACAGGCGAGCCCAAUUUGAGCAGCUGGAGUACACAGAAGAUGAUUAUCAGAAGGAGCUUGAGCAUAUUGAGCAGGUCAAAUCACUCAUUUAGUCUUGGUUGGAGUUUACAGCAGUAGAUUGGCAUGUGCCAUGCAUGCGGAGAGGGAGAGUCCCAUGUGCUUCAAUAAUGCAUAGUUUUGGCAAUUCCAAAACUAAUUGCAUGCAAAUUUUUGCCCGACAACUCUCACUACAUAUAUUGAGCUGGUCGACCACACAACGCACUUUUACAUGGCAUAUUUACAUGUCAGCCUUUUAAUUGUUUUCUGGCACUGAAUUUGUCAUUGUUUGCCUUGUUAAAUAGGUUCUCUCCAUUGGUUGGGAAUGUAAGAAGUAUGGAAGAGCAAUGCACAUUGGAACAAAUCACAGAAGCCUUUCUGACCGUAUCAUGAGCUACUAUGGUGAUUCUCCAAGGGGAAUGGUUGAAUCUGCUUUUGAAUUUGCCAGGAUUUGCCGGAAGUUGGACUUCCAUAAUUUUGUCUUCUCAAUGAAAGCAAGCAACCCAAUGAUCAUGGUUCAAGCAUACCGUUUACUUGUUGCCGGAAGGGUGGGAUUAUCCCUUGCACUAGGGAGUUACGGAAGCUGGUGAAGGUGAAGAUGGACGGAUGAGGUCUGCAGUUGGCAUCGGAACCCUUCAAGUAUUUGUUCUAUAUUUUUUAUUUUUA